GAUGAACGCCGGCGGCGUGCUUAACACAUGCAAGUCGAGCGAAGCGCCUUACUUGAUUUCUUCGGGAUGAAAGUAUUGUGACUGAGCGGGCGUACGGGUGAAGGUAACGCGUAGUAGGAACCUGCCUCAAAGAGGGGGACAACAGUUGGAAGCGACUGCUAAUACCGCAUAAGCCCACAGGUCGGCAUCGACCAGAGGGAAAAGGAGCAAUCCGCUUUGAGAUGGCCUCGCGUCCGAUUAGCUGGUUGGUGAGGUAACGGCCCACCAAGGCAACGAUCGGUAGCCGGACUGAGAGGUUGAACGGCCACAUUGGGACUGAGACACGGCCCAG
This 331-nucleotide ribosomal RNA is filed under the name uncultured bacterium. RNAcentral's name for it is "bacterial SSU rRNA". It matches the Rfam family "Bacterial small subunit ribosomal RNA", at positions 28 to 334 of the family's 1533-position model. The record is from RNAcentral.